This is an RNA transcript of Mandrillus leucophaeus (drill), 1864 nucleotides long. It is a transcript of the gene named T-complex protein 1 subunit delta pseudogene, with no coding region annotated. The transcript has a single exon. The record is from RefSeq and is a predicted model, not a curated record. NCBI's taxonomy places the organism in Eukaryota, Metazoa, Chordata, Mammalia, Primates, Cercopithecidae.
UAAAAACAGUUUGGGUCCAUCCGUCCUUUCCGAGCCCACCCAGACCCAGCCGACUUUGCCAUGCCCGAGAAUGUGGCACCCCGGAGCGGGGCGCCUGCCGGGUCUGCCAGCAGCCGCGGAAAAGGCGCCUAUCAGGACCGCGACAAGCCAGCCCAGAUCCGCUUCAGCAACAUUUCCGCCGCCAAAGCGGUUGCUGUUGCUAUUAGAACAAGCCUUGGACCAAAAGGAAUGGAUAAAAUGAUUCAAGAUGGAAAAGGUGAUGUAACCAUUACAAAUGAUGGUGCUACCACUCUGAAACAAAUGCAAGUGUUACAUCCAGCAGCCAGAAUGCUGGUGGAGCUGUCUAAGGCUCAAGAUAUAGAAGCAGGGGAUGGCACCACAUCAGUAGUCAUCAUUGCUGGCUCCCUCUUAGAUUCGUGUACCAAGCUUCUUCAGAAAGGGAUUCAUCCAACCAUCAUUUCUGAGUCAUUCCAGAAGGCCCUGGAAAAGGGCAUUGAAAUCUUGACUGACAUGUCUCGACCUGUGGAACUGAGUGACAGAGAAACUUUGUUAAAUAGUGCAACCACUUCACUGAACUCAAAGGUUGUUUCUCAAUAUUCAAGUCUGCUUUCUCCAAUGAGUGUAAAUGCAGUGAUGAAAGUGAUUGACCCAGCCACAGCCACCAGUGUAGAUCUUAGAGAUAUUAAAAUAGUUAGGAAGCUUGGUGGGACAAUUGAUGACUGUGAGUUGGUGGAAGGGCUGGUUCUCACCCAAAAAGUAUCAAAUUCUGGCAUAACCAGAGUUGAAAAGGCCAAGAUUGGGCUUAUUCAGUUUUGCUUAUCUGCUCCCAAAACAGAUAUGGAUAAUCAAAUAGUGGUUUCUGACUAUGCCCAGAUGGACCGAGUGCUGAGAGAAGAGAGAGUCUAUAUUUUAAAUUUAGUGAAGCAAAUUAAAAAAACAGGAUGUAAUGUCCUUCUCAUACAGAAGUCUAUUCUAAGAGAUGCUCUUAGUGAUCUUGCAUUACACUUUUUGAACAAAAUGAAGAUUAUGGUGAUUAAGGAUAUUGAAAGAGAAGACAUUGAAUUUAUUUGUAAGACAAUUGAAACCAAGCCAGUUGCUCAUAUUGACCAAUUUACUGCUGACAUGCUGGGUUCUGCUGAGUUAGCUGAGGAGGUCAAUUUAAAUGGUUCUGGCAAACUGCUCAAGAUUACAUGUUGUGCCAGCCCUGGAAAAACAGUUACAAUUGUUGUUCGUGGUUCUAACAAACUGGUGAUUGAAGAAGCAGAGCGCUCCAUUCAUGAUGCCCUAUGUGUUAUUCGUUGUUUAGUGAAGAAGAGGGCUCUUAUUGCAGGAGAUGGUGCUCCAGAAAUAGAGUUGACCCUAUGAUUAACUGAAUAUUCACAAACACUGAGUGGUAUGGAAUCCUACUGCAUUCGUGCUUUUGCAGAUGCUAUGGAGGUCAUUCCAUCUACACUAGCUGAAAAUGCCGGCCUGAAUCCCAUUUCUACAGUAACAGAACUAAGAAACCGGCAUGCCCAGGGAGAAAAAACUUCAGGCAUUAAUGUCCGAAAGGGUGGUAUUUCCAACAUUUUGGAGGAACUGGUUGUCCAGCCUCUGUUAGUGUCAGUCAGUGCUCUGACUCUUGCAACUGAAACUGUUGCGGAGCAUUCUGAAAAUCAAUGAUGUGGUAAACACUCGAUAAUCUGGAUAACUGACUAGCACCAUUAUGGUCACCAGUAUUGCUGCUGGCGUGGAAGAAGAUCACAUUGGUGUUCCUUGUUUGGAAGAUUAUUUCCUCUGAAUUUUUGGGCUUGGUCUUCCAGUUGGCAUUUGCCUGAAGUUAUAUUGAAACAAUUUAAUGAAAAUAUUAAAUAUUUGGUUUCAA